Long non-coding RNA from Pocillopora damicornis (cauliflower coral), 388 nucleotides. The record is from RefSeq and is a predicted model, not a curated record. NCBI's taxonomy places the organism in Eukaryota, Metazoa, Cnidaria, Anthozoa, Scleractinia, Pocilloporidae.
CACAUUAAUUUUAAUCCAAAGAUGUCUUUGUAAUUCUGUUUUUUGAGACAUGUUGAUGGAUUUUCAAUCUCAAAAAUUAUCAAUUUAGGUGCCCCAUAGUUAUCAAGGAGAGUCUGUUUGAUCUUGGCUGUCUUCCUCCAGCUCUUGUCAUUAUUUUUAUACUGGCCUUUGUCAAGCAAAGGGUCAAAUCUGGACUUCAAAACUUCAAUGGAUAUCCUGGUUUACUGAUACCAUUUGAUUUUUUAGGUGGUUUUAGCAACAGAUUCACCAUUGCUGUUACGUUUGGAGCCACUUCCAGCACAUGCCUGAAUAUGUUUUUGAAACCAAAAAAUGGAAUUUUCAGAUUCCUGACCCAGCUGGAUGGGUGAAGGGUAAGUGAUCAUACAUG